UGCGAAAGUAAGACUAAUACCCAAUGACGUCUCUAGAAGACAUCUGAAAGAGAUUAAAGAUUUAUCGGUGAUGGAUGGGGAUGCGUCUGAUUAGCUUGUUGGCGGGGUAACGGCCCACCAAGGCGACGAUCAGUAGGGGUUCUGAGAGGAAGGUCCCCCACAUUGGAACUGAGACACGGUCCAAACUCCUACGGGAGGCAGCAGUGAGGAAUAUUGGUCAAUGGGCGAGAGCCUGAACCAGCCAAGUAGCGUGCAGGAUGACGGCCCUAUGGGUUGUAAACUGCUUUUAUAAGGGAAUAAAGUGAGUCUCGUGAGGCUUUUUGCAUGUACCUUAUGAAUAAGGACCGGCUAAUUCCGUGCCAGCAGCCGCGGUAAUACGGAAGGUCCGGGCGUUAUCCGGAUUUAUUGGGUUUAAAGGGAGCGUAGGCCGGAGAUUAAGCGUGUUGUGAAAUGUAGACGCUCAACGUCUGCACUGCAGCGCGAACUGGUUUCCUUGAGUACGCACAAAGUGGGCGGAAUUCGUGGUGUAGCGGUGAAAUGCUUAGAUAUCACGAAGAACUCCGAUUGCGAAGGCAGCUCACUGGAGCGCAACUGACGCUGAAGCUCGAAAGUGCGGGUAUCGAACAGGAUUAGAUACC
This 638-nucleotide ribosomal RNA is filed under the name uncultured bacterium. Its description in RNAcentral is "bacterial SSU rRNA". It matches the Rfam family "Bacterial small subunit ribosomal RNA", at positions 150 to 786 of the family's 1533-position model. The record is from RNAcentral.